RNAcentral lists this long non-coding RNA (7288 nucleotides) under Homo sapiens (human). RNAcentral describes it as "HSALNT0020355". Lineage: Eukaryota; Metazoa; Chordata; Mammalia; Primates; Hominidae. The record is from RNAcentral.
GUGCAGUGGCACAAUCUCGGCUCGCUGCAACUUCCACCUCCCAGGGUCAAGUCAUUCUCUUGCCUCUGCCUCCCGAGUAGCUGGGAUUACAGGCACACACCAUCACACCCAGCUAAUUUUUGGAUUUUAGUAGAGACGGGGUUUCACCAUGUUGGCCAGGCUGCUCUCGAACUCCUGACCUCACGUGAUCUGCCCUCCACAGCCUCCGAAAGUGCUGAUAUUACCGGUGUGAGCCACCAUGCUCAGCCCUCAAUCAUAUUUUUUGUUUCUUCUUGUCACUUUAAACUUUAUAGUUGCUUCUUGCUUUUUUUUUUUUUUUUGAGACAGGGUCUCACUGUCAUUCAGGCUGGAGUGCAGUGGCAAAAUCAUGACUUACUGUAGCCUCAAACUCCUGGGCUCAAGUGAUCUUCCCACCUCAGCCUCCCAAGCUGAGACUACAGGGACGUACCACCACACCCGGCUCAUUUUAAAAUUUUUUGUAAAGAUGAGGUCUCACUAUGUUGUCCAGGCUGGUCUUGAAUUCCUGGCCUCAAGUGAUCCUCUUUCUUGGCCUCCCAAAGUGCUGUGAUGACAGGCGUGAGCCACUGUUGCCCUCUUUUUAUCUUGUCUUUUAUUACAGUUUUGAUUUUUCCAUUAAUUUAAUAUUUUUUCUUUAUUAAAUGCUUUUUUGGCCAGGCACAGUGGCUCAUGCCUGUAAUCCUAGCACUUUGGGAGGCCGAGGCGGGCAGAUCACCUGAGGUCAGGAGUUCAAGACCAGCCUGGCCAACAUGAUGAAAUGCCAUCUCUACUAAAAUACAAAAAUUAGCCGUGCAAGAUGGCAGGUGCCUAUAAUCCCAGCUACUCCAGAGGCUGAGAUGGGAGAAUCACUUGAACCCGGGAGACGGUGAUUGCAGUGAGCUGAGAUUGAGCCACUGCACUCCAGCUUGGGCGGCUGAGUGAGAGUCCAUCUCAAAAAAAAAAAAAUUAAAUAAAUAAAUAAACAAAUGCUUUUUAAAAAAUAACUUACUUUCUCUUGAUUUAUUAAAUGGAAGGCAUAAGCACAGUUCUAAUGUGCGGCUGUGCUGUGCAGAUGACCCACAGCUUAAGCUAAGGGGGCCAGAAGUUUUUCCCCUCUGUUUUGUGGUGCUGGCUUCCUUUAAUGGGCACAUAUUAUCUUCCUAGUUAAAAAAAUCUUAACCUGAUUGAUAUAGGAGACCUGCUGGCCAGAAGUUCCCCUAAGGUUAAGAUUCCCAUUCCCUGGUGUACAAACCCUGAAUAAUCCCUUCCCCUUGAGUGUGGGUGGGACAUGUAAAUAUCCCACUCCUGUGUACCACCUUUGGGCUGAUGACUCUCUAACCCAGGGGUUGGCAGACUUUUUCUGAAAGGGCCACAUGGCUUUGUGGGCCAUACAGUCUCUGUUGCAAAUACUCAACUCUGCUGCUGUAUUAUGAAAGCAGGCAUAAGGAAUACAGAAAUGGAGUUGGGCACAGUAGUUCAUGCCUAUAAUCCCAGCACUUUGGGAGGCCAAGGUGGGAGGAUUGCUUGAGGUUAGGAGUUGAGGACCAGCCUGGACAACAUAGGGAGACCCCAUCUCUACAAAAACUAAAAAUAAAAAAUUAGCCAGGUGUGGUGGUGCAUGUCUGCAGUCCUAGCUACUUGAGAGGUUGAGGCAGGAGAAUCUUUUGAGCCCAAGAGUUCAAGUUACAGUGAGCCAUGAUCAUACCACUGCAUUCCGCCCUAAGUGAUAGAGCAAGACCCUAUCUCUUAACUAACUAACUAACUAACUAAAUAAAUAAAUAAAUCAGAAUGAAUGGGCUUGACUGUGUUUCAAUAAUGCUUUAUUUGCAAAACAGGCUGCCAGCCCCCUGGCCAUGGUUUACUGACUCUAAACCAUAUCACCUUCCCCAGACCCUUCUCCUGGACUCCAGAUGCACCUCCACCUGCCCUCUGGGCAUCUCAUCUUAGCUGUCUCAGAGGCAGGUCAGACUCAUCUCCUCCUGUAGUCCACUCCUGACACCUAGUUUUUUCCUGUGUUCUCUGUCUUAUAAACCAUAUCCCCAUCUUGUCAAGUGCUGGAGUCGGAAAACCAGACAUGAUCUCCCCUCAUCUCUCUCCCCAACGUCCCAUAUCUAAUCAGUCACCAAUUAGUCUAAUUUCUAAAGUUAUCUCAGAUCUAUGCCCUUGAUUCCAUCUGUACUGCUACCAAUCACUAUUUCCUAUCUCAAAUACCAUGACAGUCCCCUGCAGUGGGCAGAAAAAUGGCCUGGCAAAGAUGUCCACAUCCUAAUCCCCAGAACCUAUGAAUAUUUUGCCUUGCAUGAGAAAAGGGACUUUGCAGAUGUGACUAAAUGAAGGAUCUUGAGAUAGGGAGGUUAUCCUGGGUUAUCCAGAGGGGCCCAAUGUAAUCACAAAGGUCCUUAUAAAAGAGAGGUUGGGUUGGACGUGGUGGCUCACACCUGUAAUCCCAGCACUUUGGGAGGCCGAGGUGGGUGCAUCACUUGAAGGUCAGGAGUUUGAGACCAGCCUGGCCAACGUGGUGAAACCCCCAUCUCUACUAAAAAUACAAAAAUUAGCCGGGCAUGGUGGCAAGUGACUGUAGUCCCAGCUACUCGGGAGGCUGAGGCAGGAGAAUCGCUUGAACCCAGGAUUGUGCCAUUGCACUCCAGCCUGGGCAACAAGAGCAAAACUUCAUCUCAAAAAAAAAAGAGAGGCUGGAGGGUCAGACAUAGAGAAGAGACAUGAACACAAAAGCAGAGGUUGGAGUCAUCCCCUUUGAACGUGGAGGAAGGGGCCAUGACCCCAGGAAUGCAGAUGGUCCCUGGAAGCUGGAAAAGACAUAGACACGGAUUUUCCACUUGAACUUCUAGAAGGAACCCGCCCGGCCAACACCUUAACUUUAUCCCAGUGAGUCUGACUUUGGACUUCUGACCUCCAGACCUGUGUGAUUUGUAUUACAUUUAUGUGAUUUGUAGCCACUCAAUCUGUGGUCAUUUGUUACAGCAACCACAGGGAAGCACUACAUGUCCUAAUCCUCCCUCCAGUCUUGUUCCCCCUCAGCCUGUUCCCCACAUCACCCCAAACACAAAUAUGAUCUGUCCCAUUCCCCACUGAAAACACUUCAGUGACUUCCUGCAUCCUUAGGAUAAAUUGCAAGCUCCUUACAAGACCCCAUCACCCGGCUCCCACCAGUUCAUGUUCUGAUCAUAAUGAAUUUUAUGUCAUGCUCUCUCCUGUUAAACUGGAUGCUCUGUUUAGGACACAUUUUCCUCCUCUCUGUCCAGACUCCUCUAAGUCCUCUUCAGUUCUCAACUUAGACAUCAUUUCCUCAGGGAGCUGGUCCCUGGCCCCAUUCUGAGUUCAGUCCCUCUGUUGAAGACGACACUGUAAUUCCGCUAUCAUAGCCCCGACCUGCUUCAUGUUGGGACAUGAAGUCAGAGACUGCACAUCCAUCUGGUUGGCCACUCUGCACCCAGCACCUUGCCUGCUGCCUGGCACACACCAGGGCACAGUGAAUACAAAAGUGAACAAGGGGCAAGUCCAGGGAGACUGAGUGGAGGUGGAGUUGAGGGGCUCCAGUACUAUCUAAUCUCCCCUUGCAAAAACUGGGGGUGGAAAGUCCAUGGGGAGAGAGAUCUGGAGCAGGCUUAGGGCGGUGGGAGUCUGAAUUGCCCUCAUUUCCCUUUCUGCUCAGCCCUGGUGGGGAAGGUGCUGGGAAGGGGAGCCAGGCGUCACUGCCCCACUGCUACAAUUAGCUGAGCCUUUCAUUCUCCCUCUACAAAGAGGAGAGAGAAAAUCAAAGGGAGAUAAAAGUGAAUGUCCCACAAAGGACAUCGAGAUGAGGGGGAAGGAAGGGAGGGUGGUGGGAGUGAGAGGCAGAGGCAGAGAGAACGCCCUGCGGCCCAAACAAAAGCCUAAAACCAGCGGAUCCCAAGCAUCAGACGGUAGAGACAUAAGGACAGGAAGAGACUGGGCCGCGUGGGGAUCGGGCAGCCCAUCAGCCAAGGAGGAGAGGGAAUGAAGAAAGAUAAAACGCCUAUGUGAAUGGCCAGGGAAGAGGGUGGACAGGGACCCCGGAUGGAGUGAGGACAAAAGCAUGAAAAGACAAGAUCGCCACCAUCCCGCUGGAGUGUGACGGCGCAAUCUCAGCUCACCGCAAUGUCCGCCUCCCAGGUUCAAGCGAUUCUCCUGCCUCAGCCUCCUGAGUAGCUGGGAUUACAGGGAGAAGGCAGGCCUGAGAGGCAAGGAAGCAGACUGGGAACGGGGCCGCAGGGGACUCAGAGCCAGCGUACCUGGUCAUUGCAGGAACACACACAUCUCCACGUUCCAAAGCCCCUCUGAGGGGCCCAGGUCUUCACUCAGAUUGUCUGAACAGCCCCACCAGAUUCCAGCUCGGCCAUCAGGAGCAAAGGAUCAGCCCGUGUCCUCACUUAGGACUGAGCAGCAAGGCGAACCCUACCUUCGCGGCCCUCCUCGUGCUGGGUGCAGUUCAGACUGUGGGCUUGGGGGGAACCUGUGGUUGUGCUUGGCAACCUCCAGAGUUGACUGGCCUUGGAGGGUCUCAGGCUGAGUCGGGGGCUAUUUUUAGUUCAUUUAAUCAUUUAGUUGCUUACUGUCUUUUAUAUCGUUUUAAUAAUCUUUUUUAUUUCUUUUAAUUUACUUUGUCUCUUUUAUUGUCUGCUAUAUUAUUUUUUCUCUUCCUGUUUUCUAUUUUUUCAUCUUAAUAAACUGGAUGCUGGGAGUCUAGGCCUCUGGGGAGAUCCAUGAGGCAGCCCUUGCCCCCAGGCAAAUGAAGCCGGAUGCUCUGCCCUCUCUGAUGGCCCCCAAAUCCCCUUACCAGGCACCUCACAUCCCCAUUGACUCUGCUGACUCGUAAAAACCUCCACCAGUGGAAUUCAGGAGCCCCCAGGCCAGAGUUGUCCCCAGGGUGAUGAUAAUAUAUUUACCUACACUUACACACAUUUGAAGUAUAGGAAAAUGUUGGUAACCCUUUUGCUAUUGUUUUUGUUUGUUUUUUGAGAUGGAGUCUUGCUCUGUCACCCAGGCUGGAGUCCAGUGGUGCAAUCUCGGCUCACUGCAAGCUCCGCCUCCCAGGUUCGUGCCAUUCUCCUGCCUCAGCCUCCCCAGCAGCUGGGACUACGGGUGCCUGCCACCAUGCCCAGCUAAUUUUUUUGUAUUUUUAGUAGAGAGGGUUUCACCGUGUUAGCCAGGAUGGUCUCGAUCUCCUGACUUCAUGAUCCGCCCACCUCGGCCUCCCAAGGUGCUGGGAUUACAGGCGUGAGCCACUGUGUCCAGCCACCCUUUUGCUAUUUUUAUAAUUAGAAAGUUAAUACAUGCUCAUCAUCAAAAAAUAUAAAUCUAAAAGUGUAUGAAGUAGAAAAUGUAAGUCCUCUGUUUCCCCCAAAUCCUUGGGAGAAACCUUGCUAAGAUAAUACAUGUGUGGAACUAAAUCUGCAGCCUAGAUAUACACUUACCCAUUUAAAAUUUGAUAGGUGGCUGGGCACAGUGCUUCAUGCCUAUAAUCCCAGCACUUUGGGAGGCAGAGGCAGGCAGAUCACCUGAGGUCAGGAGUUUGAGACCAGCCUCACCAACAUGGUGAAACCCCAUCUCUACUAAAAAUACAAAAAUUAGCUAGGCGUGAUGUUGCACGCCUGUAGUCCCAUCUACUCAGGAGGCUGAGGCAGGAGAAUCACUUGAACCUGGGAGGUGCAGGUUGUAGUAAGCCGAGGCUGCGCCACUGUACUCCAGCCUGGGCAACAGAGUGAGACACGGACUCAAAAAAUAAAAUAAAAUAAAAUUUAAUAGGUGGCUGGGCAUGGUAGCUAACGCCUGUAAUCUCAGCACUUUUGGAGGCUGAGGCAGGUGGAUUGCUUGAGCUCAGGAGUUCAAGACCAGCCUGGGCAACAUGGUGAGACCCUGUCUUUACCAAAAAAAAAAAAAAUACAAAAAGUUAGCCAAGCAUGGUGAUGUGCACCUGUAGUCCCAGCUACUUGGGAGGCUGAGGUGGGAGGAUCACUUGAGCCCAGGAGGUGGAGGUUGCAGUGAGCCAUGAUUGCGCUACUGCACAAUUGCAACAUUGCACUCCAGCCUGGACCACAGAGUGAGAUCUUGUCUCAAAAAAAAAUAAAAAUAAAAAUUGAUAGUUAAGGCCAAAUUGUCCUUCAGAAAUACUAAGCCAAUUUAUAUUUCUACCAACAGUUUAGGAAAGGGUCCCUUUUCCCUUUGCCUGCACCCUCACCAGCCUUCACCAACACAGCAGCAGGGCUAACCUAGACUUUUGGAAAUUGUUCCUGUAUCUGCCUACCCUUGUUUACCACCCCACCCCAUUCUCAGGCUAUUGGGAUUCAGGGUCGAUGGGAAUGACUCUCGUCCGUUAAUCACCAGGAGAUGCAACAUCCUUGCUGGGCAAGGCUCCUGCUGUGGACUCCUGCUGUGGACUCCCCCCACCGACCAGCACCGUAGGCCAGCUGCUGCCCCUACGAAGGACAUGCCAAUGAGCUCCCUGCAGUCUUGCAGAAGCAAAAACUUGCCCACUCAAGCAGGAGACCCCAGGCAUGCUUGAAGGUGGGCAGGUGCCUGUCUUCAUGUUCAAGUGGGCAGACACCCACCAAAUGCCAAAUGUGAGUCAUGCCUGUGAGUCCCUCAGAAUUUCUCCCAGAUCCUGACCCUCCCACCACAUCUAACAGCAUCGCGUUGCUCCGGGGAAUCCAAGUACUGUGUGUGCGCCCGGCAGGGGCCUGUGGUUAGGAAGGUGGGUGUUCCUGCCAGCCCACUGCUGCUGGGUGGAGAGUCCAAGGAGGGGCAGGGAGGGAGGGAGGUGUUGGUUGCAUAGUCAGCUUCAGAGAUACUCCAUCUGCAGGUGAGAGAGGACGGAUGGGAGGCAGCCCAAGCUAAGGGUAAACAGAUGUGGAGAUCAGGUGGGACCAGGUGGAAGAAGCAGCAGAAAUGAGGUGAGAGGGUGAGGAGGAAAGCUGGCUGGAAGGAGGCCCCCACAUACCCAGGACCUGAGUGCCAGCUGGCUCUUCAAGUCCAGGCAGCUGGUGGAAAGGUGAGAGCUAGUCAGUAUCCCAGAUAACUGGUUUGACGUUUCCUCUCUGAGUUAAUUGAACAGUUAACUUUGGCCACAGAAAACAGCCCUGAAUUUUAUUACUUGGAAGUUAAGACAGACUUUCUCUUUUCCUUCUGCUUCCUCAAUGAUGUGGCUUUCUGUGGGACAAACCUCCCAGAAAGAGAGAGAGAGAGAGAGAGAGAGAGAGAGAGAGAGAUGUUAGUGGCCAUAGUCCAUGGCAGCAGGUGCCUGGGUAGACCAUCA